Ictalurus punctatus (channel catfish) is the source of this 319-nucleotide long non-coding RNA. Lineage: Eukaryota; Metazoa; Chordata; Actinopteri; Siluriformes; Ictaluridae. The record is from Ensembl.
UGUGUUUCAGUGUUUCAGUGUUUCAGUAUUUCAGUGUUUCAGUAUUUCAGUGUUUCAGUAUUUUAUGCGUUCAGUAUUUCAGUGUUUCAGUGUUUCAGUGUUUCAGUGUUUUAGUGUUUCAGUGUUUUAGUGUUUCAGUAUUUCAGUGUUUCAGUGUUUCAGUGUUUCAGUGUUUUAGUGUUUCAGAAUUUCAGUGUUUCAGAAUUUCAGUGUUUCAGUGUUUCAGUGUUUCAGUGUUUCAGUAUUUUAGUGUUACAGCAUUUUAAUGUUUCAGUGUUUCAGUGUUUCAGUGUUUUAGUGUUUCAGUGUUUCAGUGUUU